GAUGAACGCUGGCGGCGUGCCUAAUACAUGCAAGUCGAACGAAACUUCUUUAUCACCGAGUGCUUGCACUCACCGAUAAAGAGUUGAGUGGCGAACGGGUGAGUAACACGUGGGCAACCUGCCCAAAAGAGGGGGAUAACACUUGGAAACAGGUGCUAAUACCGCAUAACCAUAGUUACCGCAUGGUAACUAUGUAAAAGGUGGCUAUACUACCGCUUUUGGAUGGGCCCGCGGCGCAUUAGCUAGUUGGUAGGGUAAAGGCUUACCAAGGCAAUGAUGCGUAGCCGAAUUGAGAGGUUGAUCGGCCACAUUGGGACUGAGACACGGCCCAAACUCCUACGGGAAGCAGCAGUAGGGAAUCUUCCACAAUGGGCGAAAGCCUGAUGGAGCAACGCCGCGUGGGUGAAGAAGGUCUUCGGAUCGUAAAACCCUGUUGUUAGAGAAGAAAGUGCGUGAGAGUAACUGUUCACGUUUCGACGGUAUCUAACCAGAAAGCCACUGCUAACUACGUG
Molecule: ribosomal RNA, 512 nt
Filed under: uncultured bacterium
Lineage: Bacteria
Description: partial 16S ribosomal RNA
Rfam family: Bacterial small subunit ribosomal RNA
Source: RNAcentral